Molecule: ribosomal RNA, 1089 nt
Filed under: Klebsiella pneumoniae
Lineage: Bacteria; Pseudomonadati; Pseudomonadota; Gammaproteobacteria; Enterobacterales; Enterobacteriaceae
Description: bacterial SSU rRNA
Rfam family: Bacterial small subunit ribosomal RNA
Source: RNAcentral
AGCAUACACAUGCAGUCGAGCGGUAGCACAGAGAGCUUGCUCUCGGGUGACGAGCGGCGGACGGGUGAGUAAUGUCUGGGAAACUGCCUGAUGGAGGGGGAUAACUACUGGAAACGGUAGCUAAUACCGCAUAAUGUCGCAAGACCAAAGUGGGGGACCUUCGGGCCUCAUGCCAUCAGAUGUGCCCAGAUGGGAUUAGCUAGUAGGUGGGGUAACGGCUCACCUAGGCGACGAUCCCUAGCUGGUCUGAGAGGAUGACCAGCCACACUGGAACUGAGACACGGUCCAGACUCCUACGGGAGGCAGCAGUGGGGAAUAUUGCACAAUGGGCGCAAGCCUGAUGCAGCCAUGCCGCGUGUGUGAAGAAGGCCUUCGGGUUGUAAAGCACUUUCAGCGGGGAGGAAGGCGCUAAGGUUAAUAACCUUGGCGAUUGACGUUACCCGCAGAAGAAGCACCGGCUAACUCCGUGCCAGCAGCCGCGGUAAUACGGAGGGUGCAAGCGUUAAUCGGAAUUACUGGGCGUAAAGCGCACGCAGGCGGUCUGUCAAGUCGGAUGUGAAAUCCCCGGGCUCAACCUGGGAACUGCAUUCGAGACUGGCAGGCUAGAGUCUUGUAGAGGGGGGUAGAAUUCCAGGUGUAGCGGUGAAAUGCGUAGAGAUCUGGAGGAAUACCGGUGGCGAAGGCGGCCCCCUGGACAAAGACUGACGCUCAGGUGCGAAAGCGUGGGGAGCAGACAGGAUUAGAUACCCUGGUAGUCCACGCCGUAAACGAUGUCGAUUUGGAGGUUGUGCCCUUGAGGCGUGGCUUCCGGAGCUAACGCGUUAAAUCGACCGCCUGGGGAGUACGGCCGCAAGGUUAAAACUCAAAUGAAUUGACGGGGGCCCGCACAAGCGGUGGAGCAUGUGGUUUAAUUCGAUGCAACGCGAAGAACCUUACCUGGUCUUGACAUCCACAGAACUUUCCAGAGAUGGAUUGGUGCCUUCGGAACUGUGAGACAGGUGCUGCAUGGCUGUCGUCAGCUCGUGUUGUGAAAUGUUGGGUUAAGUCCCGCAACGAGCGCAACCUUAUCUUUGUUGCCAGCGUUCAGCC